CAAUUGGUUGGACCGUAGGUGCGAUGAUUUACUUCACGGGCGAGGUCUCUGGUUCAAAUCCAGGGUGGCCCA
This 72-nucleotide transfer RNA is filed under the name Citrus maxima (pomelo). RNAcentral describes it as "tRNA-Ile". The record is from RNAcentral. Lineage: Eukaryota; Viridiplantae; Streptophyta; Magnoliopsida; Sapindales; Rutaceae.